This 519-nucleotide ribosomal RNA is filed under the name uncultured bacterium. RNAcentral describes it as "partial 16S ribosomal RNA". It matches the Rfam family "Bacterial small subunit ribosomal RNA", at positions 899 to 1397 of the family's 1533-position model. The record is from RNAcentral.
ACUCAAAUGAAUUGACGGGGGCCCGCACAAGCGGUGGAACAUGUGGUUCAAUUCGAUGCUACGCGAAAAACCUCACCAAGGCUUGACAUACAGCAAGUAGUGAACCGAAAGGGGAACGAGCCGUCAAGUCCGGCAAGCUGUACAGGUGCUGCAUGGCUGUCGUCAGCUCGUGUCGUGAGAUGUUGGGUUAAGUCCCGCAACGAGCGCAACCAUUGCCCGAUGUUGCCAUCAUGUUUUGUCGAAAGACAAGAUGUGAGCACUCUUCGGGGACUGCCUGGGAUAACCAGGAGGAAGGUGGAGAUGACGUCAAGUCAGUACGGCCCUUAUGCCUUGGGCUACACACGUGUUACAAUGGGUGAUACAAAGGGUUGCCAACCCGCGAGGGGGAGCUAAUCUCUAAAAAUCAUUCUCAGUUCAGAUCGGAGUCUGCAAUUCGACUCCGUGAAGCCGGAAUCGCUAGUAAUGGAAGAUCAGCACGCUUCCAUGAAUACGUUCCCGGGCCUUGUACACACCGCCCGU